UGAUUAUUGAAAGGUGCUUGCAUCUUGAUUUAAUUUUGAACGAGUGGCGGACGGGUGAGUAACACGUGGGUAACCUGCCCUUAAGUGGGGGAUAACAUUUGGAAACAGAUGCUAAUACCGCAUAAAUCCAAGAACCGCAUGGUUCUUGGCUGAAAGAUGGCGUAAGCUAUCGCUUUUGGAUGGACCCGCGGCGUAUUAGCUAGUUGGUGAGGUAACGGCUCACCAAGGCAAUGAUACGUAGCCGAACUGAGAGGUUGAUCGGCCACAUUGGGACUGAGACACGGCCCAAACUCCUACGGGAGGCAGCAGUAGGGAAUCUUCCACAAUGGACGCAAGUCUGAUGGAGCAACGCCGCGUGAGUGAAGAAGGCUUUCGGGUCGUAAAACUCUGUUGUUGGAGAAGAAUGGUCGGCAGAGUAACUGUUGUCGGCGUGACGGUAUCCAACCAGAAAGCCACGGCUAACUACGUGCCAGCAGCCGCGGUAAUACGUAGGUGGCAAGCGUUAUCCGGAUUUAUUGGGCGUAAAGCGAGCGCAGGCGGUUUUUUAAGUCUGAUGUGAAAGCCCUCGGCUUAACCGAGGAAGUGCAUCGGAAACUGGGAAACUUGAGUGCAGAAGAGGACAGUGGAACUCCAUGUGUAGCGGUGAAAUGCGUAGAUAUAUGGAAGAACACCAGUGGCGAAGGCGGCUGUCUGGUCUGUAACUGACGCUGAGGCUCGAAAGCAUGGGUAGCGAACAGGAUUAGAUACCCUGGUAGUCCAUGCCGUAAACGAUGAAUGCUAGGUGUUGGAGGGUUUCCGCCCUUCAGUGCCGCAGCUAACGCAUUAAGCAUUCCGCCUGGGGAGUACGACCGCAAGGUUGAAACUCAAAGGAAUUGACGGGGGCCCGCACAAGCGGUGGAGCAUGUGGUUUAAUUCGAAGCAACGCGAAGAACCUUACCAGGUCUUGACAUCUUUUGAUCACCUGAGAGAUCAGGUUUCCCCUUCGGGGGCAAAAUGACAGGUGGUGCAUGGUUGUCGUCAGCUCGUGUCGUGAGAUGUUGGGUUAAGUCCCGCAACGAGCGCAACCCUUAUGACUAGUUGCCAGCAUUUAGUUGGGCACUCUAGUAAGACUGCCGGUGACAAACCGGAGGAAGGUGGGGAUGACGUCAAAUCAUCAUGCCCCUUAUGACCUGGGCUACACACGUGCUACAAUGGAUGGUACAACGAGUUGCGAGACCGCGAGGUCAAGCUAAUCUCUUAAAGCCAUUCUCAGUUCGGACUGUAGGCUGCAACUCGCCUACACGAAGUCGGAAUCGCUAGUAAUCGCGGAUCAGCACGCCGCGGUGAAUACGUUCCCGGGCCUUGUACACACCGCCCGUCACACCAUGAGAGUUUGUAACACCCGAAGCC
This 1389-nucleotide ribosomal RNA is filed under the name Lacticaseibacillus rhamnosus. Its description in RNAcentral is "bacterial SSU rRNA". It matches the Rfam family "Bacterial small subunit ribosomal RNA", at positions 56 to 1428 of the family's 1533-position model. The record is from RNAcentral. Lineage: Bacteria; Bacillati; Bacillota; Bacilli; Lactobacillales; Lactobacillaceae.